AUUAAAAACCAAAAAAACUAUAAAA
RNAcentral lists this small RNA (25 nucleotides) under Arabidopsis thaliana (thale cress). RNAcentral's name for it is "ATSL111670". Lineage: Eukaryota; Viridiplantae; Streptophyta; Magnoliopsida; Brassicales; Brassicaceae. The record is from RNAcentral.